Molecule: ribosomal RNA, 457 nt
Filed under: uncultured beta proteobacterium
Lineage: Bacteria; Pseudomonadati; Pseudomonadota; Betaproteobacteria
Description: bacterial SSU rRNA
Rfam family: Bacterial small subunit ribosomal RNA
Source: RNAcentral
CGGGGGGCAGCAGUGGGGAAUUUUGGACAAUGGGCGAAAGCCUGAUCCAGCCAUGCCGCGUGAGUGAAGAAGGCCUUCGGGUUGUAAAGCUCUUUCAGCCGGAAAGAAAACGCAUGGGUUAAUAACCUGUGUGGAUGACGGUACCGGAAGAAGAAGCACCGGCUAACUACGUGCCAGCAGCCGCGGUAAUACGUAGGGUGCGAGCGUUAAUCGGAAUUACUGGGCGUAAAGCGUGCGCAGGCGGUUUUGUAAGACAGAUGUGAAAUCCCCGGGCUUAACCUGGGAACUGCAUUUGUGACUGCAAGGCUAGAGUACGGCAGAGGGGGGUAGAAUUCCACGUGUAGCAGUGAAAUGCGUAGAUAUGUGGAGGAAUACCGAUGGCGAAGGCAGCCCCCUGGGUCGAUACUGACGCUCAUGCACGAAAGCGUGGGGAGCAAACAGGAUUAGAUACCCGAGU